Molecule: ribosomal RNA, 836 nt
Filed under: uncultured bacterium
Lineage: Bacteria
Description: bacterial SSU rRNA
Rfam family: Bacterial small subunit ribosomal RNA
Source: RNAcentral
UNUGACUUGAGUGCAGAAGGGGAGAGUGGAAUUCCAUGUGUAGCGGUGAAAUGCGUAGAUAUAUGGAGGAACACCAGUGGCGAAAGCGGCUCUCUGGUCUGUCACUGACGCUGAGGCUNGAAAGCGUGGGUAGCGAACAGGAUUAGAUACCCUGGUAGUNCACGCCGUAAACGAUGAGUGCUAGGUGUUAGGCCCUUUCCGGGGCUUAGUGCCGGAGCUAACGCAAUAAGCACUCCGCCUGGGGAGUACGACCGCAAGGUUGAAACUCAAAGGAAUUGACGGGGGCCCGCACAAGCGGUGGAGCAUGUGGUUUAAUUCGAAGCAACGCGAAGAACCUUACCAGGUCUUGACAUCCCGAUGCUAUUCUUAGAGAUAGGAAGUUACUUCGGUACAUCGGAGACAGGUGGUGCAUGGUUGUCGUCAGCUCGUGUCGUGAGAUGUUGGGUUAAGUCCCGCAACGAGCGCAACCCUUAUUGUUAGUUGCCAUCAUUAAGUUGGGCACUCUAGCGAGACUGCCGGUAAUAAACCGGAGGAAGGUGGGGAUGACGUCAAAUCAUCAUGCCCCUUAUGACCUGGGCUACACACGUGCUACAAUGGUCGGUACAACGAGUUGCGAGCCGGUGACGGCAAGCUAAUCUCUGAAAGCCGAUCUCAGUUCGGAUUGGAGGCUGCAACUCGCCUCCAUGAAGUCGGAAUCGCUAGUAAUCGCGGAUCAGCACGCCGCGGUGAAUACGUUCCCGGGCCUUGUACACACCGCCCGUCACACCACGAGAGUUUGUAACACCCGAAGUCGGUGAGGUAACCUUUUAGGGGCCAGCCGCCUAAGGUGGGANGGA